Molecule: ribosomal RNA, 514 nt
Filed under: Vibrio sp. 8Bf2S128
Lineage: Bacteria; Pseudomonadati; Pseudomonadota; Gammaproteobacteria; Vibrionales; Vibrionaceae
Description: bacterial SSU rRNA
Rfam family: Bacterial small subunit ribosomal RNA
Source: RNAcentral
AUGGGCGCAAGCCUGAUGCAGCCAUGCCGCGUGUAUGAAGAAGGCCUUCGGGUUGUAAAGUACUUUCAGCAGUGAGGAAGGUGGAUGUGUUAAUAGCGCCUUCAUUUGACGUUAGCUGCAGAAGAAGCACCGGCUAACUCCGUGCCAGCAGCCGCGGUAAUACGGAGGGUGCGAGCGUUAAUCGGAAUUACUGGGCGUAAAGCGCAUGCAGGUGGUUUGUUAAGUCAGAUGUGAAAGCCCGGGGCUCAACCUCGGAAUUGCAUUUGAAACUGGCAGACUAGAGUACUGUAGAGGGGGGUAGAAUUUCAGGUGUAGCGGUGAAAUGCGUAGAGAUCUGAAGGAAUACCGGUGGCGAAGGCGGCCCCCUGGACAGAUACUGACACUCAGAUGCGAAAGCGUGGGGAGCAAACAGGAUUAGAUACCCUGGUAGUCCACGCCGUAAACGAUGUCUACUUGGAGGUUGUGGCCUUGAGCCGUGGCUUUCGGAGCUAACGCGUUAAGUAGACCGCCUGGG